CGUUACGUACCUAACCCGACGAAGGGGGGACGACGUCCCACGGAGUGGUCCAUGACUGGGGUG
RNAcentral lists this ribosomal RNA (63 nucleotides) under uncultured bacterium. RNAcentral describes it as "partial 16S ribosomal RNA". The record is from RNAcentral.